Molecule: long non-coding RNA, 616 nt
Organism: Oncorhynchus tshawytscha (Chinook salmon)
Lineage: Eukaryota; Metazoa; Chordata; Actinopteri; Salmoniformes; Salmonidae
Source: Ensembl
GGGCUAGAGUAAAGUCGUUGAGGGGCUAGAGUAAAUUCAUUGAUGGGCUAGAGUAAAGUCAUUGAGGGGCUAGAGUAAAGUCGUUGAGGGGCUAGACUAGCGUUGUUGAGGGGCUAGACUAGCGUCAUUGAGGGGCUAGAGUAAAGUCAUUGAGGGGCUAGAGUAAAGUCGUUGAGGGGCUAGAGUAAAGUCAUUGAGGGGCUAGAGUAAAGUCAUUGAGGGGCUAGAGUAAAGACGUUGAGGGGCUAGAGUAAAUUCAUUGAGGGGCUAGAGUAAAGUCGUUGAGGGGCUAGAAUAAAUUUGUUGAGGGGCUAGACUAGCGUCGUUGAGGGGCUAGACUAGCGUCAUUGAGGGGCUAGAGUAAAGUCGUUGAGGGGCUAGACUAGCGUUGUUGUGGGGCUAGAGUAAAGUCGUUGAGGGGCUAGAGUAAAGUCGUUGAGGGGCUAGAGUAAAGUCGUUGAGGGCUAGAGGAAAGUCGUUGAGGGCUAGAGUAAAGUUGUUGAUGGGCUAGAGUAAAGUCAUUGAGGGGCUAGAGUAAAGUCAUUGAGGGGCUAGAGUACAGUCAUUGAGGGGCUAGAGUAAAGUCGUUGAGGGGCUAGAGUCAAGUCAUUGAGGG